RNAcentral lists this ribosomal RNA (467 nucleotides) under uncultured bacterium. RNAcentral's name for it is "partial 16S ribosomal RNA". It matches the Rfam family "Bacterial small subunit ribosomal RNA", at positions 28 to 507 of the family's 1533-position model. The record is from RNAcentral.
GAUGAACGCUGACAGAAUGCUUAACACAUGCAAGUCAACUUGAAUUUGGGUUUUUAACUUAGGUUUGGGUGGCGGACGGGUGAGUAACGCGUAAAGAACUUGCCUCACAGCUAGGGACAACAUUUGGAAACGAAUGCUAAUACCUAAUAUUAUGAUAAUAGGGCAUCUUAUAAUUAUGAAAGCUAUAAGCGCUGUGAGAGAGCUUUGCGUCCCAUUAGCUAGUUGGAGAGGUAACGGCUCACCAAGGCGAUGAUGGGUAGCCGGUCUGAGAGGGUGAUCGGCCACAAGGGGACUGAGACACGGCCCUUACGCCUACGGGAGGCAGCAGUGGGGAAUAUUGGACAAUGGACCGAGAGUCUGAUCCAGCAAUUCUGUGUGCACGAUGAAGUUUUUCGGAAUGUAAAGUGCUUUCAGUUGGGAAGAAACAAAUGACGGUACCAACAGAAGAAGUGACGGCUAAAUACGUG